This 531-nucleotide ribosomal RNA is filed under the name uncultured bacterium. RNAcentral describes it as "bacterial SSU rRNA". It matches the Rfam family "Bacterial small subunit ribosomal RNA", at positions 355 to 896 of the family's 1533-position model. The record is from RNAcentral.
UGGGGAAUAUUGCACAAUGGGCGCAAGCCUGAUGCAGCGACGCCGCGUGAGGGAUGACGGCCUUCGGGUUGUAAACCUCUUUCACCAGAGACGAAGCGCAAGUGACGGUAUCUGGGGAAGAAGCACCGGCCAACUACGUGCCAGCAGCCGCGGUAAUGCGUAGGGUGCGAGCGUUGUCCGGAAUUACUGGGCGUAAAGAGCUCGUAGGUGGUCUGUCGCGUCGUUCGUGAAAUUUCACAGCUCAACUGUGGGCGUGCGAGCGGUACGGGCAGACCGGAGUACUGUAGGGGAGACUGGAAUUCCUGGUGUAGCGGUGGAAUGCGCAGAUAUCAGGAGGAACACCGGUGGCGAAGGCGGGUCUCUGGGCAGUAACUGACGCUGAGGAGCGAAAGCGAGGGGAGCGAACAGGAUCAGAUACCCUGGUAGUCCACGCCGUAAACGGUGGGUACUAGGUGUGGGUUUCCUUCCUUGGGAUCCGUGCCGUAGCUAACGCAUUAAGUACCCCGCCUGGGGAGUACGGCCGCAAGGCUA